GGAGUCUGGACCGUGUCUCAGUUCCAGUGUGGGGGACCUUCCUCUCAGAACCCCUAGCCAUCGUCGCCUUGGUGGGCCGUUACCCCGCCAACUAGCUAAUGGCACGCGAGCCAAUCCGUAUGCAAUGAAUCUUUCAAACACGAACCAUGCGGUCCUUGUUGUUAUGGGGUAUUAGACGCCGUUUCCAGCGCUUAUCCCCCUCAUACGGGCAUGUUGCUCACGCGUUACGCACCCUUCCGCCGGUCGCCGCCAAAGUAUUGCUACCUCGCGCUGCCCCUCGACUUGCAUGUGUUAAGCCUGCCGCUAGCGUUCAUC
Molecule: ribosomal RNA, 315 nt
Filed under: uncultured Bacteroidales bacterium
Lineage: Bacteria; Pseudomonadati; Bacteroidota; Bacteroidia; Bacteroidales
Description: partial 16S ribosomal RNA
Source: RNAcentral